GGAAGAUAGAGAUUGAAUCAGCUAGUGGUGACAGUGAAUUCUUUUAGCCUGGAAUCACUACCAGCUCCUGUUUCACACUGUAGUGUCACUGCUUCCUAUGCUUCCCUCAACAACUCUUUUUCUUUUUUUUCACCAACACUUCUCACAGCUUUUCUUUUAAUACUCUGUUGUUAAUGGCAGCCUGUACAUGUCAAAAGUGCAGGGCAGGAGGGGGAAGAUUCCACGGAGAGCCUUCUCCUAGUGGUUGUCACCACACUGGAAGUGAACCUUGCCAACAGUCAUCUCUCAAGUGA
Molecule: long non-coding RNA, 293 nt
Filed under: Manacus vitellinus (golden-collared manakin)
Lineage: Eukaryota; Metazoa; Chordata; Aves; Passeriformes; Pipridae
Description: lncRNA (ENSMVIG00005011750.1)
Source: RNAcentral